CUGGCUCAGGAUAAACGCUGGCGGCGUGCAUAACACAUUCAAGUCGAACGAAGCUCCGGAACUUGCUGCAAGGGAAGGAAGACUUAGUGGCGGACGGGUGAGUAACGCGUGAGCAAUCUGCCUCGGGGGUGCGGGAUAACGUCUGGAAACGGACGCUAAUACCGCAUGACGCAUACUGAUCGCAUGGUCGGUAUGCCAAAGAUUCAUUGCCCUGAGAUGAGCUCGCGUCCGAUUAGACAGUUGGCGGGGUAACGGCCCACCAAAUCAACGAUCGGUAGCCGGACUGAGAGGUUGAACGGCCACAUUGGAACUGAGAUACGGUCCAGACUCCUACGGGAGGCAGCAGUGGGGAAUAUUGGGCAAUGGGCGAAAGCCUGAACCCCCAGCGACGCCGCGUGAGGGAAGAAGGUCUUCGGAUUGUAAACCUCUUUCAGCAGGGAAGAAGGAAGUGACGGUACCUGCAGAAGAAGCCACGGCUAACUACGUGCCAGCCGCAGC
This 498-nucleotide ribosomal RNA is filed under the name uncultured bacterium. RNAcentral describes it as "bacterial SSU rRNA". It matches the Rfam family "Bacterial small subunit ribosomal RNA", at positions 19 to 518 of the family's 1533-position model. The record is from RNAcentral.